Molecule: long non-coding RNA, 1673 nt
Filed under: Homarus americanus (American lobster)
Lineage: Eukaryota; Metazoa; Arthropoda; Malacostraca; Decapoda; Nephropidae
Description: uncharacterized LOC121860055
Source: RNAcentral
UCGGUUGUUGGCGUUUGGUGCUAGAUAAUUAUGAUAUUUAAUCGCUGACAGGAACAGCCACGGACGUCAACAGCCACGGGCAUCAACAGACGACAGCCACGGGCGUCUACAGACGGUGGCCACGCCACGGAUGGGAAUAACUGCCUGGCACAGAUUAUUGUGCCUGAUGGGGAGUGAGGAAAGUCCAAAGAGCUUUGAGUUUCACAUCUGUGCGAAGGACUACUGCUUUGCCAGUGAUGACCAGCACAUUGGUGUGGCUGUGCUUCAGCUUAGAUAUAUUGUUGACCAGGGCUCCUGCGCGACAUGGCUUUCCCUGGAUAAGCGAUGACACAUGGAUGGACAGUGGUGAGAAUUCCGAGUCGACGCACCAACGGCGAGGUAGCAAAGAAAUUUAUCAAGCUCAACCACCCAUGACCCAGUAGACAGAUUGAAGAGGAAGCUUUAUGCUCUAGUGCAAAGUUUGACUCCAUUAUCCAGUGAUGGAUGACAAUAGUCAGGUUGUGUAAGCUAUCAGUAAAAGGGGAGGUAACUCUGGUUGUUCUAGUGAGGGGCUCCCGUUAAAGGACACACGAACACUGGAAUAGCCAUCACAGGAUCAUUGGAGGGCCCUUCGUCCCCAUGUGGCCAAUUGCAGAGGUGACCACUAACGUCCAAGGAGACUCAUUCCGUGUGAAGUUUAAUGUAGGAAUUUAAUCCAACUUUAGACCAAAAGGUGGAUUCAUCGGCGCCUGUCGAUGACGUCAGAACGUCGCCUUGAAAGUAAAAGUUAUCCAAAAGAAAGACACGCAGAAUGACCCCGGUAUGACGCGGCCACGAACGACAACGGGAGGGAAUGUGUGAUACAGUAUUGUGAAUGAUUACCCUGGUCUACAUGUGUGUUCUCAUUUCAGUGGACUACAAGUUCUCUGCUCUUCCAAAACCUUAUUUAAAAGUUUGUAAAACAGUAUUUUGGGUCAUUUAAAGAUGAUGGUGUUCAUUCUGUAUAAUAAACUAUUGGUAAGAUGUACACCAGUUGCAGUAAUAUAUUAUUAAGAAGGAAGUGUCCCAGUAGCUUCGAUUCUCAACAUGGUUUAAUGUCACGUUACUGUCCCAUUUUCUGUGGUGGUGUGAAAGAAAACAACUGAACCGUAAGGGAUAUUUUCCCAUUUUCUGUUAAAUGGUCAUAGGAUAAGUCUAGUGUUUUGUGCUCUUUAAGCGAGAAAGUAAUGGAUAUUUGAAUUAAUCACAUGAUUUAAGUUGUGAGCACUAACUCUUAUUUUUGUAUGUGAUAUUGGCACAUAUUAUCAAAAGGUGCAUAUUCAUAUUUCGCCUUUGACCUCAGAUUCAGAUUGAAUAAGCAAUCCAUUGUACAUAUCAUUUUACCAUUAGGUUAGUCCUCGUCUGUAAUAAUGAAUAAUUGGGUGAUUGUUAUGUUUUUCGUUUUAGUUUAACUGGGUCAGGUCCACUACGCUGGAGAGGGAAUCCUGAGGAUACGGUGCAUUUAUUUGUCUCGAAAUUGGCAAGAGUAAGCCUAAAUUGGUUCGUAAUUAAAGCCCAUUUUCCUACUCUCAGCGAAGAGAAAAUGUCUUUUAGUUGCGGGCUUUCUUAGGCUGUGGCAUUUGUUGCAGGUGUGUGUGUGUGCGUGCGCGCGCAUUUCGUCUGUACUAUCAGUAUGUUUUCUUAACAAACGGGCC